This 492-nucleotide ribosomal RNA is filed under the name uncultured bacterium. RNAcentral describes it as "partial 16S ribosomal RNA". It matches the Rfam family "Bacterial small subunit ribosomal RNA", at positions 29 to 507 of the family's 1533-position model. The record is from RNAcentral.
AGUGAACGCUGGCGGUAGGCCUAACACAUGCAAGUCGAACGGCAGCACAGUGCUUGCUUGUUCUUACAGGUGCCGACUGGCGGGUGAGUGCUGAAUACCUCGGAGUCUACUUUUUCGUAGGGCCUGACAUAGGGACACUUACGCUAUUACCGCAUACGACCUACGGGUGAAAGCUUGGGAUCUUCGGACCUUGCGCGAUUCAAUGUGCCGAUGUCGGAUUAGCUAGUUGGGGGGGUAAAGGCCUACCAAGGCGACGAUCCGUAGCUGGUCUGAGAGGAUGAUCAGUCACACUGGAACGGAGACACGGUCCAGACUCCUACGGGAGGCAGCAGUGGGGAAUAUUGGACAAUGGGCGAAAGCCUGAUCCAGCCAUACCGCGUGUGUGAAGAAGGCCUUCGGGUUGUAAAGCACUUUUGGUGGGAAAGAAAAGCAGUAAGUUAAUACCCCGCUGUUCUGACGGUACCAAAAGAAUAAGCACCGGCUAACUUCGUG